This 465-nucleotide ribosomal RNA is filed under the name Vreelandella stevensii. RNAcentral describes it as "partial 16S ribosomal RNA". It matches the Rfam family "Bacterial small subunit ribosomal RNA", at positions 338 to 795 of the family's 1533-position model. Lineage: Bacteria; Pseudomonadati; Pseudomonadota; Gammaproteobacteria; Oceanospirillales; Halomonadaceae. The record is from RNAcentral.
CCUACGGGGGGCAGCAGUGGGGAAUAUUGGACAAUGGGCGAAAGCCUGAUCCAGCCAUGCCGCGUGUGUGGAGAAGGCCUUCGGGUUGUAAAGCACUUUCAGUGGGGAAGAAAGCCUUGGGGCUAAUACCCUCGAGGAAGGACAUCACCCACAGAAGAAGCACCGGCUAACUCCGUGCCAGCAGCCGCGGUAAUACGGAGGGUGCGAGCGUUAAUCGGAAUUACUGGGCGUAAAGCGCGCGUAGGCGGUCUGAUAAGCCGGUUGUGAAAGCCCCGGGCUCAACCUGGGAACGGCAUCCGGAACUGUCAGGCUAGAGUGCAGGAGAGGAAGGUAGAAUUCCCGGUGUAGCGGUGAAAUGCGUAGAGAUCGGGAGGAAUACCAGUGGCGAAGGCGGCCUUCUGGACUGACACUGACGCUGAGGUGCGAAAGCGUGGGUAGCAAACAGGAUUAGAUACCCUGGUAGUC